GAUCAUGGCUCAGGAUGAACGCUAGCUACAGGCUUAACACAUGCAAGUCGAGGGGCAGCAUGACGGAAGCUUGCUUUCGUUGAUGGCGACCGGCGCACGGGUGAGUAACGCGUAUCCAACCUGCCCUUGUCCAUCGGAUAACCCGUCGAAAGGCGGACUAACACGAUAUGCAGUUCUCAGCAGGCAUCUAACGAGAACGAAAUAGUGAAGGAGAAGGAUGGGGAGUGCG
Molecule: ribosomal RNA, 229 nt
Filed under: uncultured bacterium
Lineage: Bacteria
Description: partial 16S ribosomal RNA
Rfam family: Bacterial small subunit ribosomal RNA
Source: RNAcentral